GAGUCUGACCCUAUGUGGGCUUGCACUUCUCUCUAGGAGUUCAUUGAGGAGUUGCUGUCUCCCCCCUUUGGGGGUCUGGUGGCAUUCGUGAAGGAGGCUGAGGCCUUGAUUGAGCGUGGGCAGGCCGAGCAGCUCCGAGGGGAGGAAGCCCGAGUCACUCAGCUGAUCCGUGGCUUUGGUAGUUCCUGGAAGGCAUCCGUGGAGUCCCUGAGUCAGGAUGUAAUGCGGAGUUUUACCAACUUUCGAAAUAGAACCAGCAUCAUCCAGGGGGCGCUAACCCAGCUGAUCCAGCUGUACCAUCACUUCCACCAGGUGCUGUCCCAGCCCCAGCUCC
This is a long non-coding RNA of Mastomys coucha (southern multimammate mouse), 334 nucleotides long. RefSeq lists it as uncharacterized. NCBI's taxonomy places the organism in Eukaryota, Metazoa, Chordata, Mammalia, Rodentia, Muridae. The transcript has 3 exons. The record is from RefSeq and is a predicted model, not a curated record.